AAGCUGUGAUGAAAUAUGCGUGUUGUGUUGGAGGGGUCCAUCACUCUCAUCUGAAUCAAGAUGGAAACAAGCGCUUCUGAGCUU
Molecule: small nucleolar RNA, 84 nt
Organism: Cannabis sativa
Lineage: Eukaryota; Viridiplantae; Streptophyta; Magnoliopsida; Rosales; Cannabaceae
Product: small nucleolar RNA snoR114
Exons: 1
Source: RefSeq, a predicted model, not a curated record